Molecule: transfer RNA, 58 nt
Filed under: Loxodonta africana (African savanna elephant)
Lineage: Eukaryota; Metazoa; Chordata; Mammalia; Proboscidea; Elephantidae
Rfam family: tRNA
About the family: Transfer RNA (tRNA) molecules are approximately 80 nucleotides in length.
Source: Rfam by way of RNAcentral
UGGUAUAGUGGUUAAAGCGCUUGGCUGCUAACCAAAAGGUUGGUGGUUCAAACCCACC